CCUACGGGAGGCAGCAGUGGGGGAUAUUGCACAAUGGGGGAAACCCUGAUGCAGCGACGCCGCGUGUGGGAAGACGGUCCUCUGGUUUGUAAACUACUGUCUCCAGGGACGAAGAUGACGGUACCUGGGGAGGAAGCUCCGGCUAACUACGUGCCAGCAGCCGCGGUAAUACGUAGGGAGCGAGCGUUGUCCGGAAUUACUGGGUGUAAGGGGAGCGUAGCCGGGGAUGAAAGUUGGGUGUCAAAACUACCGGCUCAACUGGUAGUCGCACUCAAAACUGCAGCUCUUGAGUGAAGUAGAGGCAGGCGGAAUUCCGAGUGUAGCGGUGAAAUGCGUAGAUAUUAGGAGGAACACCAGUGGCGAAGGCGGCCUGCUGGGCUUUUACUGACGCUGAGGCGCGAAAGUGUGGGGAGCAAACAGGAUUAGAUACCCGGGUAGUC
This 440-nucleotide ribosomal RNA is filed under the name uncultured bacterium. Its description in RNAcentral is "partial 16S ribosomal RNA". It matches the Rfam family "Bacterial small subunit ribosomal RNA", at positions 338 to 795 of the family's 1533-position model. The record is from RNAcentral.